Solea senegalensis (Senegalese sole) is the source of this 924-nucleotide long non-coding RNA. RefSeq lists it as uncharacterized. The transcript has 2 exons. The record is from RefSeq and is a predicted model, not a curated record. NCBI's taxonomy places the organism in Eukaryota, Metazoa, Chordata, Actinopteri, Pleuronectiformes, Soleidae.
CAUCACUGAUCUGCUGGUCGCCCGCGGCAACCGGCUGCCCAGCCGGGGCUGCUUGACGUGCCGAAUGUGAAUUUUCCCAAUCAAAGGCAGGGCAGAGAGGAGUCGCCGAGUCUGUGGAUUUUACAUAUUUUCCGUUUCCAAACACCGUCCCACUCAGGGUGCAUUUCCACUUCCUUCUGACAAGACGCAGAUUUUUCGUCUGCGCUUAAUGUGACGCGUGGGGACAGCGGCAGCAGGACCGCAUGACACGAGACGGAAACUUUUCCACAUUCAAAAAAAAUAAUAAAAAAAAACUCCAAAGACGUGAAGGAUUUAAAGCCAUUUUCCACACGUGUCCUAUUCACAUUUUCCAAACUACCAGGACAGACGUGGGACAUGUCUGCAAAGCAGCUACAAAACGCUUUACAGUUUGUUUCCUCGUCUCCCAGUGCGACCGCAGUCAUCCCCAGCUGGAAAAUAAGAGGCUUCCCAUGAGCAUUACGAGGUCAACUGACUUGGUAAAGAGCACGUCCACCAGAUUUUUCCCAGCCGGAUUGUGAAUCGUUGACCUUCCACCAGACAACCUGCCCUGCCGUCCUCUCCGACACCGCUCUCCUUGAUAUUACUGAUACAUCGACACCAGCGCCGCUGCCGCGGGGCUGAAUGUGUCACAACCUGCAGGAAAGCAGUGACUGUGCCAUGACUCACAAACAACAGGUAACCCAUGCUCUCUUAAAUCAUAACGUGUGCUGCAUGUGGCGACGAGACUUCAAGCGUCAAAGCCGACGUCUACACUCUAUAUGGCUGCCAACGCUAUCACGUAACAUAAAGAGGUCCUGAAUGAUCACAUCUGUCCUGAAACAGCAGCUGAUGCAUCCAUACAAGACCCUGCAUACAGACUGUAUUAGAAGAAAUGCUAAUUAAAACGCCAUUGUGAAACAAAAA